UACGAAGGGUGCAAGCGUUAAUCGGAAUUACUGGGCGUAAAGCGCGCGUAGGUGGUUCGUUAAGUUAGGAGUGAAAGCCCCGGGCUCAACCUGGGAAUUGCUUCUAAAACUGGCGAGCUAGAGUAUGGUAGAGGGUGGUGGAAUUUCCUGUGUAGCGGUGAAAUGCGUAGAUAUAGGAAGGAACAUCAGUGGCGAAGGCGACCACCUGGACUGAUGCUGACACUGAGGUGCGAAAGCGUGGGGAGCAAACAGGAUUAGAUACCCCGGUAGUCCCU
This 275-nucleotide ribosomal RNA is filed under the name uncultured prokaryote. RNAcentral describes it as "partial 16S ribosomal RNA". It matches the Rfam family "Bacterial small subunit ribosomal RNA", at positions 524 to 798 of the family's 1533-position model. The record is from RNAcentral.